UACGUAGGGUGCGAGCGUUGUCCGGAAUUAUUGGGCGUAAAGAGCUCGUAGGCGGUGUGUCACGUCGGCCGUGAAAACCUGCAGCUUAACUGUGGGCGUGCGGUCGAUACGGGCAUCACUGGAGUUCGGCAGGGGAGACUGGAAUUCCUAGGUGGUAGCGGUGAAAUGCGCAGAUAUCGGGAGGAACACCGGUGGCGAAGGCGGUUCUCUGGGCCUUACCUGGACGCUGAGGAGCGAAAGCGUGGGGAGCGAACAGG
RNAcentral lists this ribosomal RNA (257 nucleotides) under uncultured bacterium. Its description in RNAcentral is "partial 16S ribosomal RNA". It matches the Rfam family "Bacterial small subunit ribosomal RNA", at positions 524 to 776 of the family's 1533-position model. The record is from RNAcentral.